This 456-nucleotide ribosomal RNA is filed under the name uncultured bacterium. RNAcentral's name for it is "bacterial SSU rRNA". It matches the Rfam family "Bacterial small subunit ribosomal RNA", at positions 340 to 786 of the family's 1533-position model. The record is from RNAcentral.
UACGGAAGGCAGCAGUGGGGAAUAUUGCACAAUGGGCGAAAGCCUGAUGCAGCUAUGCCGCGUGUAUGAAGAAGGCCUUAGGGGUUGUAAAGUACUUUCAUCGGGGAGGAAAAACAAAACUAAUAAUUUUAUUUCUUGACGUUACCCGAAAAAGAAGCACCGGCUAACUCCGUGCCAGCAGCCGCGGUAAUACGGAGGGUGCUAGCGUUAAUCAGAAUUACUGGGCGUAAAGAGCACGUAGGUGGUUUUUUUAAGUCAGAUGUGAAAUCCCUGGGCUUAACCUAGGAACUGCAUUUUGAAACUGAAAUACUAGAGUAUCGUAGAGGGAGGUAGAAUUCUAGGUGUAGCGGUGAAAUGCGUAGAUAUCUGGAGGAAUACCUGUGGCGAAAGCGGCCUCCUAAACGAAUACUGACACUGAGGUGCGAAAGCGUGGGGAGCAAACAGGGAUUAGAUACC